RNAcentral lists this transfer RNA (82 nucleotides) under Pleodorina starrii. It matches the Rfam family "tRNA". Rfam says of the family: Transfer RNA (tRNA) molecules are approximately 80 nucleotides in length. Lineage: Eukaryota; Viridiplantae; Chlorophyta; Chlorophyceae; Chlamydomonadales; Volvocaceae. The record is from Rfam by way of RNAcentral.
GCACCUGUGGCCGAGUGGUUAAGGCGCGGCCCUGCUAAGGCCGUGGGGUCUCCCCGCGGGCGUUCGAAUCGCAUCGGGUGCG